This 465-nucleotide ribosomal RNA is filed under the name uncultured bacterium. RNAcentral's name for it is "partial 16S ribosomal RNA". It matches the Rfam family "Bacterial small subunit ribosomal RNA", at positions 28 to 507 of the family's 1533-position model. The record is from RNAcentral.
GACGAACGCUGGCGGCGUGCUUAACACAUGCAAGUCGUACGGUAAGGCCCUUUCGGGGGUACACGAGUGGCGAACGGGUGAGUAACACGUGAGUAACCUGCCCACAACUUUGGGAUAACGCUAGGAAACUGGUGCUAAUACUGGAUAUGUGCUCCUGCUGCAUGGUGGGGGUUGGAAAGCUCCGGCGGUUGUGGAUGGACUCGCGGCCUAUCAGCUUGUUGGUGGGGUAGUGGCCUACCAAGGCGGCGACGGGUAGCCGGCCUGAGAGGGUGACCGGCCACAUUGGGACUGAGAUACGGCCCAGACUCCUACGGUAGGCAGCAGUGGGGAAUAUUGCACAAUGGGCGCAAGCCUGAUGCAGCAACGCCGCGUGCGGGAUGACGGCCUUCGGGUUGUAAACCGCUUUCAGCAGGGACGAAGCUUUUUGUGACGGUACCUGCAGAAGAAGCACCGGCUAACUACGUG